This 496-nucleotide ribosomal RNA is filed under the name uncultured bacterium. RNAcentral's name for it is "partial 16S ribosomal RNA". It matches the Rfam family "Bacterial small subunit ribosomal RNA", at positions 28 to 506 of the family's 1533-position model. The record is from RNAcentral.
GAUGAACGCUGGCGGCGUGCCUAAUACAUGCAAGUCGAGCGAACAGACGAGGAGCUUGCUCCUCUGACGUUAGCGGCGGACGGGUGAGUAACACGUGGAUAACCUACCUAUAAGACUGGGAUAACUUCGGGAAACCGGAGCUAAUACCGGAUAAUAUCUUGAACCGCAUGGUUCAAUAGUGAAAGACGGUUUUGCUGUCACUUAUAGAUGGAUCCGCGCCGCAUUAGCUAGUUGGUAAGGUAACGGCUUACCAAGGCGACGAUGCGUAGCCGACCUGAGAGGGUGAUCGGCCACACUGGAACUGAGACACGGUCCAGACGCCUACGGGAGGCAGCAGUAGGGAAUCUUCCGCAAUGGGCGAAAGCCUGACGGAGCAACGUCGCGUGAGUGAUGAAGGUCUUCGGAUCGUAAAACUCUGUUAUUAGGGAAGAACAAAUGUGUAAGUAACUAUGCACGUCUUGACGGUACCUAAGCAGAAAGCCACGGCUAACUACGU